Molecule: ribosomal RNA, 352 nt
Filed under: Anatololacerta anatolica
Lineage: Eukaryota; Metazoa; Chordata; Lepidosauria; Squamata; Lacertidae
Description: partial small subunit ribosomal RNA
Source: RNAcentral
GAACUACAAGUGAAAAACUUCAAACUUAAAGGACUUGACGGUAUCCCAAACCGACCUAGAGGAGCCUGUCCUAUAAUCGAUACCCCCCGCUCCACCCAACCUCAACUAGCACAAUAUCAGCCUAUAUACCGCCGUCGACAGCCUACCCUAUGAAGGUUCAACAGUAGACACAAUAGCCCCCCGCUAACACGUCAGGUCAAGGUGUAGCAAAUAUUGAGGAAGAGAUUGGCUACAUUUUUUAUGAUAAAAAAAACGAAAAGUACUAUGAAACAGUACAUGAAGGUGAAUUUAGUAGUAAAAUAAACAAGAGUGUUUAUUUUAACACCGCUCUGGGAUGCGUACACACCGCCCG